This is a long non-coding RNA of Macrobrachium nipponense, 247 nucleotides long. RefSeq lists it as uncharacterized. The transcript is spliced from 3 exons. Lineage: Eukaryota; Metazoa; Arthropoda; Malacostraca; Decapoda; Palaemonidae. The record is from RefSeq and is a predicted model, not a curated record.
CACCGUCAUUCGCCCUUUGAAAGUGAAAUUCGAAGGAAUAACUAAAGCAUCGACACAUGGGCAUUACUUAUGUGGCAAUGACAGCGCCUUUACGUGGUCCGUCGAGAGUUAUCCUGAGACUGUCAACGGCUCAGAUAAAAUUUACAUCUCUGCUUCCGCUGACCUCCUAGGACCGACCCUUGAGAACCUGGGAAACCUGAUCCGAAUGCCUUAUGGCUGUGGUGAACAAAAUAUGCUGACUUUGCCC